CCAGGAUUCUCCUAGUAACGGCGAGUGAACGGAGAUUAGCCCAUCACCGAAGUCUAUUCGCUUUUGUGAACAGGACAAUGUGGUGUUUAGGCACGCGCCUGGGAUCGUUGACUUGCUCUAAGUCCAACUCCGAUUGCGGCAUUGGAUAUUGUCCAAAGCGGGUGAAAGACCCGUUCGAGCAGGCAUUGUUUAUUUAUACGAUCCCUUGAUGCGUGUGCUAUCGAGUCGGAUUGCUUGAGAAUGCAGUCCAAAGUGGGUGGUAAACUCCAUCCAAGGCUAAAUACUGGCACGAGUCCGAUAGUAGACAAGUACCGUGAGGGAAAGUUGAAAAGUACUCUGAAGAGAGAGUAAAUAGUACGUGAAACCGCUUGCAGAGAAUCAGGUGGAGUCAAGCUUCAU
This 399-nucleotide ribosomal RNA is filed under the name Dactylogyridae sp. EMP-2009. RNAcentral describes it as "eukaryotic LSU rRNA". It matches the Rfam family "Eukaryotic large subunit ribosomal RNA", at positions 69 to 439 of the family's 3401-position model. The record is from RNAcentral. Lineage: Eukaryota; Metazoa; Platyhelminthes; Monogenea; Dactylogyridea; Dactylogyridae.